RNAcentral lists this long non-coding RNA (873 nucleotides) under Serinus canaria (Common canary). RNAcentral describes it as "lncRNA (ENSSCAG00000001063.1)". The record is from RNAcentral. Lineage: Eukaryota; Metazoa; Chordata; Aves; Passeriformes; Fringillidae.
AUCUCCCAUAUUCCCAUCCCCCCUCCCUCCCUCCCCCAAUCCCGAGGGAUUUUGGGAUGACCCCACAGGAAGAAGAGGAAAGCAGCAGCAGCAGCAGCCGGAGGGGACAUCUCCGAUCAGCUCCGGGGCCUCUCCCUGGAUCCCCAGAAUUCCCAGGAUUCCCGGAAUUCCCAGGAUCCCCAGGAUUCCCAGAAUUCCCAGGAUUCCCAGGAUUCCCAGUCCCACCUGGCCGAGCUGGAGGAGCUUUUCCAGUUCAGCUCAGCGGGUUUGGGGCCGGCGGAGCGGGAGCGGUUCCGGGAGCAGCUCCAGAAGAUUCCCAGCGGUGUCACCGUGUGCCAGCUGUCCCUGGUCAGUGCCACCCCCGGGGCCAUCGGGGACACGCUGCUGCUGACCCGGCUGGAGCGCGGCCAGGAGCCCGUCAGCGUCCGCAUCGCCACCGAGCGCUGCCAGGCCCCCCUGAGCGGGAUCCUGCAGGAAUUCCAGCGGAUCCAGCGGGAGCAGCGCGAGGCCAACGCCUGCACCGAGCGCCAGGAGUGGUGGGAGCGGCGAUCCCGCCUGGACCUGCGCAUGCGGAGCCUGAUCCAGAGCCUGGACUCGGAGGUUUUGGGGUGCUGGCGGGGGCUGCUGCUGCCCCGGGACCCCGAGAAUUCCCCCCUGGAUGAGCAGGAAUUGUCCCAGCUGCUCCAGGAGCUCCGGGAAUGCGGCUGGGAGAGCCCCGAGCCCGCCCUGCUCCGGGUACNNNNNNNNNNNNNNNNNNNNGGGACUGGGAUCCCAAACCCCUCCCAGUUCCAGGGACUGGGAUCCCAAACCCCUCCCAAUUCCAGGGACUGGGAUCCCAAAUCCCUCCUCAUCCAAUGACUGGGAUCCCAAACC